This 253-nucleotide ribosomal RNA is filed under the name uncultured bacterium. RNAcentral's name for it is "partial 16S ribosomal RNA". It matches the Rfam family "Bacterial small subunit ribosomal RNA", at positions 524 to 776 of the family's 1533-position model. The record is from RNAcentral.
UACGGAGGGGGCUAGCGUUGUUCGGAAUUACUGGGCGUAAAGCGCGCGUAGGCGGACCUGCAAGUCGGGGGUGAAAGCCCGAGGCUCAACCUCGGAACUGCCUUCGAUACUGCGGGUCUCGAGUCCGGGAGAGGUGAGUGGAAUUCCUAGUGUGGAGGUGAAAUUCGUAGAUAUUAGGAAGAACACCAGUGGCGAAGGCGGCUCACUGGCCCGGUACUGACGCUGAGGCGCGAAAGCGUGGGGAGCAAACAGG